GGGUUGUAAAGCACUUUCAGCGAGGAGGAAGUUGGUGAGUUUAUUACCNUCAUCAAUGGACGUUACUCGCAGAAGAAGCACCGGCUAACUCCGUGCCAGCAGCCGCGGUAAUACGGAGGGUGCAAGCGUUAAUCGGAAUUACUGGGCGUAAAGCGCACGCAGGCGGUUUGUUAAGUCAGAUGUGAAAUCCCCGGGCUCAACCUGGGAAUUGCAUUUGAAACUGGCAAGCUAGAGUAUGGGAGAGGGGGGUAGAAUUCCAGGUGUAGCGGUGAAAUGCGUAGAGAUCUGGAGGAAUACCGAUGGCGAAGGCGGCCCCCUGGCCGAAGACUGACGCUCAGGUGCGAAAGCAUGGGGAGCAAACAGGAUUAGAUACCCUGGUAGUCCACGCCGUAAACGAUGUCGAUUAGGAGGUGGGGUCCUUGAGGCGUGGCUUCNGGAGCUAACGCGUUAAAUCGACCGCCUGGGGAGUACGGCCGCAAGGACUAAAACUCAAAUGAAUUGACGGGGGCCCCGCACAAGCGGUGGAGCAUGUGGUUUAAUUCGAUGCAACGCGAAGAACCUUACC
RNAcentral lists this ribosomal RNA (565 nucleotides) under Serratia marcescens. RNAcentral describes it as "bacterial SSU rRNA". It matches the Rfam family "Bacterial small subunit ribosomal RNA", at positions 420 to 975 of the family's 1533-position model. The record is from RNAcentral. Lineage: Bacteria; Pseudomonadati; Pseudomonadota; Gammaproteobacteria; Enterobacterales; Yersiniaceae.